CCCUUAGAUGUCCGGGGCUGCACGCGCGCUACACUGAAGGAAUCAGCGUGCUAAAACCAUUGUCGAAAGGCAUUGGUAAACCCAUUAAAAUCCUACGUGAUUGGGAUCGGGAAUUGCAAUUAUUUCCCUUGAACGAGGAAUUCCCAGUAAGUGUGGGUCAUAAGCUCGCGUUGAUUACGUCCCUGCCCUUUGUACACACCGCCCGUCGCUGCCCGGGACUGAGCCGUUUCGAGAAAAGCGGGGACUGCUGCUGUCGGGGCUUUCGGGCCUUGGCUUCGUUGGAAACCGCUUUAAUCGCAGUGGCUUGAACCGGGCAAAAGUCGUAACA
RNAcentral lists this ribosomal RNA (328 nucleotides) under uncultured eukaryote. RNAcentral's name for it is "partial 18S ribosomal RNA". It matches the Rfam family "Eukaryotic small subunit ribosomal RNA", at positions 1470 to 1796 of the family's 1831-position model. The record is from RNAcentral.